RNAcentral lists this ribosomal RNA (780 nucleotides) under Bacillus mycoides. RNAcentral's name for it is "bacterial SSU rRNA". It matches the Rfam family "Bacterial small subunit ribosomal RNA", at positions 65 to 840 of the family's 1533-position model. Lineage: Bacteria; Bacillati; Bacillota; Bacilli; Caryophanales; Bacillaceae. The record is from RNAcentral.
AGCUUAGCUCUUAUGAAGUUAGCGGCGGACGGGUGUAGUAACACGUGGGUAACCUACCCAUAAGACUGGGAUAACUCCGGGAAACCGGGGCUAAUACCGGAUAAUAUUUUGAACUGCAUAGUUCGAAAUUGAAAGGCGGCUUCGGCUGUCACUUAUGGAUGGACCCGCGUCGCAUUAGCUAGUUGGUGAGGUAACGGCUCACCAAGGCGACGAUGCGUAGCCGACCUGAGAGGGUGAUCGGCCACACUGGGACUGAGACACGGCCCAGACUCCUACGGGAGGCAGCAGUAGGGAAUCUUCCGCAAUGGACGAAAGUCUGACGGAGCAACGCCGCGUGAGUGAUGAAGGCUUUCGGGUCGUAAAACUCUGUUGUUAGGGAAGAACAAGUGCUAGUUGAAUAAGCUGGCACCUUGACGGUACCUAACCAGAAAGCCACGGCUAACUACGUGCCAGCAGCCGCGGUAAUACGUAGGUGGCAAGCGUUAUCCGGAAUUAUUGGGCGUAAAGCGCGCGCAGGUGGUUUCUUAAGUCUGAUGUGAAAGCCCACGGCUCACCCGUGGAGGGUCAUUGGAAACUGGGAGACUUGAGUGCAGAAGAGGAAAGUGGAAUUCCAUGUGUAGCGGUGAAAUGCGUAGAGAUAUGGAGGAACACCAGUGGCGAAGGCGACUUUCUGGUCCUGUAACUGACACUGAGGCGCGAAAGCGUGGGGAGCAAACAGGAUUAGAUACCCUGUAGCCCACGCCGUAACGAUGAGUGCUAAGUGUAGAGGGUUUCCGCCCU